GAGAGAGAGAGAGAGAGAGAGAGAGAGAGAGAGAGAGAGAGAGAGAGAGAGAGAGAGAGAGAGAGAGCAAGCGAGCGCAACGGAGCGAGGAUUACUCGCUUCCUCCUACAUUCAAUGAAAAAUGUCGGAAAUGUGUUUGCGUGCCAUUCAAUGGAGAUAAUCACGGUGUGCCGUUCUUUUUGAUUUGAUAUUCUACUACCGCGAUUUUUUAACUUUCGAUGAGCUAAAAGAGACAGAUAGAAAGAGAAAAAGAGAAAGAAAGGAAAUGGAGAAAUGAUACUGUCCUUGUCAGUUUGAUAGUAUUUCCCAGAGGGGGAGAGAAAGA
This is a long non-coding RNA of Vespa mandarinia (Asian giant hornet), 325 nucleotides long. Lineage: Eukaryota; Metazoa; Arthropoda; Insecta; Hymenoptera; Vespidae. The record is from RefSeq and is a predicted model, not a curated record.